This 391-nucleotide unclassified non-coding RNA is filed under the name soil metagenome. Its description in RNAcentral is "partial contains 5.8S ribosomal RNA, internal transcribed spacer 2, and large subunit ribosomal RNA". The stretch from base 1 to 122 matches the Rfam family "5.8S ribosomal RNA", at positions 35 to 154 of the family's 154-position model. The record is from RNAcentral.
GAUGAAGAACGCAGCGAAAUGCGAUACUUGGUGUGAAUUGCAGAAUCCCGUGAACCAUCGAGUCUUUGAACGCAAGUUGCGCCCGAAGCCAUUAGGCCGAGGGCACGCCUGCCUGGGCGUCACACGUCGUUGCCCCCCCAUCUUCUCCUUCGGGAUUGCGGGGGGCGGAUGAUGGCCUCCCGUGCGCCUCGUCGCGCGGUUGGCAUAAAUGCCAAGUCCUCGGCGACGCACGCCACGACAAUCGGUGGUUGCGAAACCUCGGUUGCCCGUCGUGUGCGGUCGUCGCGCAUCGAGGGCUCGAAAAAAUUGCCGGGCUCCGGCUCGGCUUUCAACGCGACCCCAGGUCAGGCGGGGUUACCCGCUGAAUUUAAGCAUAUCAAUAAGCGGAGGA